GUGACGUCGGUGUGUUCCCGCCUGAAACGGAGGCAAAAGAGCUAUCGAAUAGAUAGCAACAUACAUUGGACAAUGGAUGACCUUUCUUUGGAUAAUAUUGAUGAAUUUGUCAACGACCAGAAUAAAAUCAAUGCUAUAUCAUUACAUGGACCGCAAGAGGAACGAAAGCUCAGCUCUGCUCCAUGCUACCUACCUUGCCUCUGGCAAGUUAGUCAAGAAUGAUACAACGGUUGUCAAGAAUGGUACCACGAUGUGAAGUUGAAGCAGAGCCUGACCAUCAGUGUACAGUGCUGAAAGACAGUGGUCCCCUGUACAGUGCGGAUUAUGAUGCUGUGAAAGAGAACCUAAGGAACUGCAGCAGGUACAGUGCAAUUCGCUGUGCUGAUGCAGUACCCAUGUCCUCGACAGAGGUGCAGCAGGCUCAUGAGAUGACACAGGCCCCACCGCUAGAGACGUCGCACACCAAAUCUGGCAUCAAUCGUCAUUCUAGUCUGGCAAAGAGUGAACAUUGGAGCAGAGAGAGGAUGCACCUGUGGUUGAGCCCUCCAAAACUAAACCAGCUCCAAAGACACAUCCUAUGAGUAACUUCUGUGGGAAUCAAGCAACUGAUAAAUCCUGUAUGUCCCCCACAUCUGGCUUACAUCUGACAAAUCCAUCAAGGAAGAGGUAGAAGCAGCCCAUAUGUCCUCUUCAGUGGAUGAGAAGCCCUCAAGCCCAGUCCCUAAUGCAGAGACUCCUGUCAAGGAGGAACUACCAAAAGGUGCUGUGGUUGAGAAAGAUAUUAGUAGUAAGAGCAAGCGUCUUGACCAUUCCGAUAGUGAAGAGAAGAAGAACAAGCGUCAGAGGAUAAAGAAGCCCCAGUCAGACAGUACUGAUGAUGAGGUUAUUCCAGAUUCUCCUCCAAGGUUGCAAGAACAGAGGGGCCCAUCACCAAGCCUUCUGAUUCAAAAAAGAAAGAACCUUUUGCUAUUUUUCAUUCAGAUUCCAUGCAGGAGCUUUUGGAUUGUAAGAGGAGGAAGAGGAGACCUGUCUUGAAACCGUGCACCUUUUUGGAUGACGAGGGGUGCAUUGUGACUGAGAAAGGCUAUGAGAGUGAAUCCUACUCUGAGACGGAAGAUGACUUUAAGGCAAGUAAACCAUCCCAGAUGAAUCCAGACCUACCAAAACCAUCAACUGGCAAGAAAGGGGAGGAGAAGAGAAGGAAAAAUGUUGCAGCCUCUAAUAAAUCAACUAAGCAGGCUUCUAUUAUGGGAUUCUUUCAAAAGAAAUGACCGACAUACUCGCAAUGUACUGAACACUGAGAAGAUUAACAUCCAUUUUGAGGGACUUGAGGCCCAGGUGGAGAGAAACUAGACUGACGCACAUUAUCAAAUGUCCCGGCAACAUUUGGAAGAACGCUGUAAUUUUUUUCCUAUUUAAAAAAACAAAAACAAUUUGUUAAUAUAUUUUCACAUUACUGUAUAUGAUAAAGUGGCAUAAAUAUAUCCACAACACAUUGUAAAGUACCGUCAGAGCUAGUUGACCAUUGCCAUGCUAUUGUACGGGGGGGUGUACGUCAAAUAAAAAUGUGAAUCAAUAACUUGUUUUUUUUUUUCCCUCACAUUUUUAAACAGUCCAUUCAUAUUCUCCAGUGGUGCUAUACAUUUGGGUGAGGUUUUUUUUCUCACCUGAGGAGCCUCGUUUCACUGCCAAAAAUCAAAUUAAACCUUCUAGUAUUCAGUGAAAUAACACCAUGUCAAAUAUAGGUAGCCAUAUCAAAUAAUUAACAUACAAUCACAUUAACCCUUAAUCUCUCCUGGGAAUUCCACUAAUGGUCCAUAUGUAGCUGCUGCUCAUGUUGGUAUCUGUACUGAUGGUGCAAAAUACAUGACAGGGAGACAUAGUGGAGUAGUAACGAGUAUGCAAGCAGUUGCUCCCGACGUCACUUGGGUACACUGCAGCAUCCACCGAGAGGCUCUUGCCGCCGAGGGAAUGCCUGACAGAUUGAAAGACGUUUUGGACACUACAGUGAAAAUGGUUAACUUUUUUAAAGCAAGGCCGCUGAACUCUCGUAUUUUCUGCAUUAUGCAAUGAAGGGGCAGCGACCAUGUAACACUUUUACAACUUACAGAAGUGGGCUGGUUAUUAAGGGGCAAAGUAGUGACACGUUUUUUUUAAAUUGAGAGACAAGCUCAAAGUUUUCUUUACUGACCAUAAUUUUCACUUGUCUGACCUCUUGCAUGAUGAGUUUCUUACACAACUGGCCUAUUUGGGUGAUGUUUUUUCUUGCCUGAAUGAUCUGAAUCUAGGAUUACAGGGACUCUCCACAACUAUAUUCAAUGUGAAGGACAAAAUUGAGGCUAUGAUUAAGAAGUUGGAGCUCUUCUCUGUCUGCAUUAACAAGGACAACACCCAGGUCUUUACAUCAAUGUAUGAUAUUUUGUGUGCAAAUGAACUCAAGUUUACGGACAAUGUCAAAUGUGAUAUAGCGAAGCACCUGAGUAAGUUGGGUGUGCAAUUACGGAGGUACUUUUCUGAAGUGGAUGACACAAACAACUGGAUUCGUUAUCCCUUUCAUACCCUGCCUCCAGUCCACUUACCGACAUCUGAACAAGAGAGCCUCAUCGAAAUUGCAACAAGCGGUUCUGUGAAAAUAGAUUUUUAUCAGAAGCCAAUGGCAGAUUUCUGGAUUGGGCUGCGCUCAGAGUAUCCUGCCUUGGCAAAUCGCGCUGUUAAGACACUGAUGUCCUUUGCAACCACGUACCUAUGUGAGAGUGGAUUCUCGGCCCUCACUAGCAUGAAAACCAAGUACAGGCACAGACUGUGUGGAAAAUGAUUUAAGACUGAGACUCUCUCCAAUACAACCCAACAUUGCAGAGUUAUGUGCAUCCUUUCAAGCACACCCUUCUCAUUAACCUGUGGUGAGUUAGUCACAAUUUUCGAUUAAAAAAUAAGGUUUUAUAUGUAAGAUGGUUAAAUAAAGAGCAAAAUUAUUGA
Molecule: RNA transcript, 2976 nt
Organism: Oncorhynchus masou masou (cherry salmon)
Lineage: Eukaryota; Metazoa; Chordata; Actinopteri; Salmoniformes; Salmonidae
Gene name: DNA polymerase delta subunit 3-like
Exons: 10
Source: RefSeq, a predicted model, not a curated record